RNAcentral lists this ribosomal RNA (1486 nucleotides) under uncultured bacterium. Its description in RNAcentral is "bacterial SSU rRNA". It matches the Rfam family "Bacterial small subunit ribosomal RNA". The record is from RNAcentral.
GAACGCUGGCGGCGUGGAUAAGACAUGCAAGUCGAACGAAUUUAUUGCUGUAGCAAUACAGUGGUAAGUUAGUGGCGCAAGGGUGCGUAACACGUGGACAAUCUGCCGGGAAGUGGGGGAUAACUCUUCGAAAGUUGAGUUAAUACCGCAUGUGAUCAGAGGUGACAUCACCUUGACAUCAAAGCUGGGGCAACCUGGCGCUUUCUGAUGAGUCCGCGGCCUAUCAGCUAGUUGGUGAGGGUAACGGCCCACCAAGGCAUUGACGGGUAGCUGGUCUCAGAGGACGACCAGCCACACUGGAACUGAGACACGGUCCAGACACCUACGGGUGGCAGCAGUCGAGAAUUUUUCGCAAUGGGGGCAACCCUGACGGAGCGACGCCGCGUGGAGGAUGAAGGUCUUCGGAUUGUAAACUCCUGUCAUUUGAGAACAAGUGCCAUUCAGUAACUACGGAUGGCUUGAUAGUAUCAGAAGAGGAAGAGGCGGCUAACUCUGUGCCAGCAGCCGCGGUAAUACAGAGGCCUCAAGCGUUGUUCGGAUUCAUUGGGCGUAAAGGGAGCGUAGGCGGUAGGGUAAGUCGGGUGUGAAAUCCUGGGGCUCAACCUCAGAACUGCAUUCGAUACUGCUCUGCUAGAGGUAUGGAGGGGAGAUUGGAAUUCACGGUGUAGCAGUGAAAUGCGUAGAUAUCGUGAGGAAGACCAGUGGCGAAGGCGGAUCUCUGGACAUUACCUGACGCUGAUGCUCGAAGGCCAGGGGAGCAAACGGGAUUAGAUACCCCGGUAGUCCUGGCAGUAAACGGUGCACGCUUGGUUUGAGAGGAUUCGACCCCUUUCGAGCCGGAGCUAACGCGUUAAGCGUGCCGCCUGGGGAGUACGAUCGCAAGAUUAAAACUCAAAGAAAUUGACGGGGGCCCGCACAAGCGGUGGAGUAUGUGGCUUAAUUCGAUGCAACGCGAAGAACCUUACCUGGCCUUGACAUGCAUCUCUAAGUUGGUGAAAGCCAGCGAGUGUAGCAAUACACAAUUUGCACAGGUGCUGCAUGGCUGUCGUCAGCUCGUGUCGUGAGAUGUUGGGUUAAGUCCCGCAACGAGCGCAACCCCUGUGAACUGUUGCCACCUGACCUUCGGGUCAGAGCACUCUGUUCAGACUGCCCUGUGAAACGGGGAGGAAGGUGGGGAUGACGUCAAGUCAGCAUGGCCCUUACGGCCAGGACUGCACACGUACUACAAUGCCCGGUACAGAAGGAACCGAAACCGCGAGGUGGAGGAAAUCACUAAAACCGGGCCCAGUUCGGAUUGGAGGCUGCAACUCGCCUCCAUGAAGCCGGAAUCGCUAGUAAUGGCGCAUCAGCUACGGCGCCGUGAAUACGUUCCCGGGCCUUGUACACACCGCCCGUCACAUCAUGGAAGUUGUUUGUAGCCGAAGCCGGCGCGCUAACCCUGCAAAGGGAGGCAGCUGUCGACGCUAUGAGCAGUAACUGGGAUGAA